RNA transcript from Drosophila virilis, 2139 nucleotides. RefSeq lists it as uncharacterized. The record is from RefSeq and is a predicted model, not a curated record. Lineage: Eukaryota; Metazoa; Arthropoda; Insecta; Diptera; Drosophilidae.
GUCAUAAUUGCGUUGUUUAGGGAACAAAAAGAAUCGUAUUUUCAAUGAAUUAUUUGUCAAAUGAACAAAAAAUUUUCUACUGUCUCAGACGAACAGAGCUCAAUCGGAUAUCAUAUGAAUUGCCAAUCUUUCUAAAAGUAUCAGACCGUAGGAAUCUACAAGCUAUGGAGCCCCACAAGCCCCUGAAGCUAAAAAUUAAGCUACCCACCCGGGUGCAGCCCGAGGUGAUGCCCGAGCCGGGCGAAGCUGGGCUUUACACCAAUAAGAUUCACUACCUGCGCAAAUAUCUGCUGGACGAGCUGGUGGCCAAGAAGUUCGCCAUGGACUUCAUGGAGCCCGUGGACACGGCGGCACUCCAAGUGCCCAAUUACUACACCAUCAUCAAGCGGCCAAUGGAUGUGGGCACGAUCAUCAAGCGGGUGCAGAACCGUUACUAUCAUCGCGUGGAUGAUCUGAUCUGUGACUUCCGAUUGGUAAUUAGCAACUGUUUUACGUUCAAUCGGCCGGGAGAUGUGGUGUACCGUAACUGCCAGAAGCUGGAGAAGUUCUUUCAUCGGGUGCUCAAUAAAAUGCCCAAGGGCGAGGAGAAGCCCAGCACCAAGGAUCCACGCUCGUCGGGCAGGCAGCAUGGCUACGAGAAGGCAUCGGAUGUGGUGCAACGUCAAUGCCAGGAGCAUCUGGAGAAGCUGCAGGCGGCCAUUGCAAAGGAGGACGACCCGACCAUUUGUAAAUAUUUUAACGCAAAACUGGAGUAUUUGUCCCAAAAAGUAGACAGGUUUUACUUCAAGACGAUCGAGGAGUUCCGCUUCGAGGUGACCGGCAUCUUCAAGAAUUUCGACAAUCAGAUUAAGCUGUUCCACGAACUGUUCCACAAGACCUGCGACCAGGAUCCGCACCAGCGCUACUCCAACUGCCAUUGGUCCCAUGAGCUGGAGAGUAAGAAGCCACCGGAAGAGCAGGAUUCAAAUGUCAAACUGGACAAGCGGGACAUAACCGAGGUGCUAUUUGCACUCAAGCGAGCGGAGAGCAGUGUGGAACAUUGUCUGAAGUCCUAUUCCAGGGAGAAGGAGAGCCGUGCCAGGGGCUUGAUCGAGGCGUUCGAUGCCACAGCCAACCGGCUGAAGCAGAAGCUAAUGAAGGGGCGCAGGGUCGAAAUGAAUAGAGAUGAGAGGAGAAAGGAACAAAUGAAAUACUAUGCCCAGAUGCAGGAGCAGCGCGAAACGCAGGAGUCGAUCACACAAGAGGAAGAGAACUCGCCCGAAAGAGACGAGCUGCCGGAGCAGGCCAACUCCUCCGACGAAGAGAAGUACGAAGCGCAGCCCGACGACUGCAACCAAGCCCACUUAACAGACACAAACGUCGAUGUCGAAUACGAUAACUGCCAGCCUGAAUACAAUACAGAUGAGCCGAUCUCCAAUGCGCCGAUUAGCGCUUCAGACUUGCCAAUGGAAAACUGGCAAAUGUCCGAGACCGAAGCGCCACCCACGUGUACCUGGCCGGAGCAGGCCGAAAGCAAUCUCUGCGACAUGACGGAGCAGCUGGACGAGGCAGCAGCAGCAGCUGCCAUUCCGGCAGACUCAACGCUCUGGACAGACUUGCAGCUGAGCAGCAGCAGCGACGACGACAGCGACGAAUCCGACUCAUCGUAAUCCCUUUCGCGGACGCCCAGAGCUAGUCGAUCCUACUCCGCUUAGGUGUCCAUCCAAUUGAUCCUUCUUGUUGCCAACUUAUGGCUAUGCCGCCUGCUGCUGAUUGAUUGGAAGCCCUGCUGCCGCAGGGUGCAAUGACACGGGGCGGCCAAUAAAUUGGAGCACCUUUGAAGGGUUGCCCAUAUCCGUCAAAUGCGCCUAAAUGUAGGCGAAUGUGCGAACUUUGCCAAUCGAUAAAGGUUACUCCUCGUGUGUUUUCCCUCCCACAGCCCCCGAGCUCGAAGUUGUCGCCUAGUUAGUUGGGUGCUCGGCGUGCUUCUGUGCAGAUAAGGCUUACCGGUUGCAGGGGCGGUGGGAGGGGGGGGCAUUGGUGCGCCAGGAGCGAGCACCUCAAGAGCUCUUCGUCGCUUCCGGCCAGUAAUGCAAAUGUCCAAUUUUGCUUUGCAGCGUUUUCCUUCCAUUCAAAAUACAUUUAAUUGCGCGUUUUGUU